RNAcentral lists this ribosomal RNA (495 nucleotides) under uncultured bacterium. RNAcentral describes it as "partial 16S ribosomal RNA". It matches the Rfam family "Bacterial small subunit ribosomal RNA", at positions 28 to 507 of the family's 1533-position model. The record is from RNAcentral.
GACGAACGCUGGCGGCGUGCCUAAUACAUGCAAGUCGAACGCUGAAGGAGGAGCUUGCUUCUCUGGAUGAGUUGCGAACGGGUGAGUAACGCGUAGGUAACCUGCCUGGUAGUGGGGGAUAACUAUUGGAAACGAUAGCUAAUACCGCAUAAUAGCAGUUGUUGCAUGAUAACUGUUUGAAAGGUGCAAUUGCACCGCUACCAGAUGGACCUGCGUUGUAUUAGCUAGUUGGUGGGGUAACGGCUCACCAAGGCGACGAUACAUAGCCGACCUGAGAGGGUGAUCGGCCACACUGGGACUGAGACACGGCCCAGACUCCUACGGGAGGCAGCAGUAGGGAAUCUUCGGCAAUGGACGGAAGUCUGACCGAGCAACGCCGCGUGAGUGAAGAAGGUUUUCGGAUCGUAAAGCUCUGUUGUAAGAGAAGAACGAGUGUGAGAGUGGAAAGUUCACACUGUGACGGUAGCUUACCAGAAAGGGACGGCUAACUACGUG